This is a long non-coding RNA of Varroa destructor (honeybee mite), 702 nucleotides long. RefSeq lists it as uncharacterized. The record is from RefSeq and is a predicted model, not a curated record. Lineage: Eukaryota; Metazoa; Arthropoda; Arachnida; Mesostigmata; Varroidae.
AGCUGCGAAAAGGUCAACCGCGCACCAGUCUAGCACCACCGUCAAACAGUUGCCACCCUAGAAAUUUCCGCAGCGAUCAGUUCUACAUCUACCUACCGGGGUUUUUAAGCGACAACUUGCUAAAAAUUUAAACACUUCAUUUAAACACACUUUAACUAGGUCCUAACCUUGGCUACGUCCUGUCACCUGCGGCCUACUCCACCGUUGGCUUCAGCCGAAUCCAUGAUUCGAUAUGUAGUCGCACUGACGCCGCGCAGGAUGCUACUGUGCUGUUGCCGAACCCCCAACCAGGCUAACCGUUCCCGAGUGGUUUGUUCCUCAAGAUUUAGCUUAUCAUAAAUCAUCUCCUAUCGAGGUGGGGUGUGGCUCUUCUGACCCGGAACGCGGGUGUUGUAACCCGACUAUUCCGCUAGUAUCUUAGGAAAUUUGCAUCGGACGACAAUAAAGUAGAAGCUGAGGUCGAUAAACAGCAUCCGUACACAAAUAGAUAGACUUCGGAGAUGAUAAUAAUAACAAUUAGAAUGGUGGCAGUGAUGCAACUGAUACCUGACGACGGUCGGGCUUAAAAUGAGGCCAACCAAGAUAUACGAAGAAGUGUCUCGUCGCUGGAACAAGGCUCUUAUAUAACUAUUUUGGAUUAUACUUUGUUUACCACGGGUCUAUUCGAUGCAUCUUGACAGAGAAAAAAAAAUCAGCCAGCUC